GCAUUACACACUCCUGCCACCAUCAGUACGCACACCUGCCUUUCCCCGUCACGCGCAUCAGCGUAUUAUUGGACUUAAUCACCUGUUCAUUACCUCCCCUAUAUUUGUCAGUUCCCCAUCUAUGUUUCCUGCUGUUGCAUUAAUGUUCGUAUGUCGUUACCCGUGUGCUGAUGUAACAGUAUAACUUUAGACCGUCCCCUCGCCCAUACCCGGGCGCAAACCAGGGGCCCUCUGCACACAUCAACAACUGUCACCCACGAAGCGUCACCCAAGCCACGGCCCUUGCAGAGCAAGGGGAACUACUACUUCAAGGUCUCAGAGCAAGUGACGUCACCGAUUGAAACGCUAUUUAGCGCGCACCCUAACUCGUCUAGCCGUUUCACAUCCGUUACACUGACGCUGUUCCUGUCUUGUUACCGGUCUGUUCCGCAUUAAAUGUUCAACUCCCCGUACCUGCUUCUCAUCUCCAGCGUCGGUCCUUAUAGGAUGGCCAUCCUGCUAACUGAUUUAAGUUUCUUAGGUGAAUUUAUUCAUGGGUGCCAAAGGAAGCCAGGCAUCCCCAAAACAUUGACCAGAAAAUAGAGUGGAGAAAGCAACCUCGUGAGAAACAUCGCCCCUCUGUGAAGAACAUCAAUCUGAAGCUGUCUGGUCAGUAACAUAUGACAUUGUUGCAGCCCGUAACAUUGAAUACAAGGGAAGCCAGCAAGCAUUUGACCUCACUUGAUUAAAAAAAAAUAGAUUCAAAUUGCCAAUCCGCAUUGAGCUAAACUGAGUGAGCUCAACAGUGAAUGGUCCUGGUGCACCAAAAUAAAGUGUAAAGAGAAACCAGUUUGGAUUUGGCUUCAGACCAAUCACAUCACCCCAAAAGCCAAAAGUAAUUUACAGAAAACUUUAAUUGUUGCAUCUCAUUGUGUUGUCUUCCGGUGGUUUGCUAGCUAGCUAAAAUAGUAAAUUUCCUAAUUUAAUAAACCAUAAAUGGAAUUAGGGAUUUGGACUUGUAGUUUUACUUAAUUCUCCGUACUGGCCAAUGAUAACGGCAAUUCUGAUCCAACUAUAAAUUCAUACAUUGUGCCCCUGGACUGAAAGGAUGGAAGAUCCACAUGUUGCUAGAUGUAGUAGGCUAAUUUUAACGAGCUGGCCUGGCAUUUUAGCCAGGUAGCCUAGAACAACAAACUAAAACUGUGUACUGUAUGAUGACAGAGUCAUAGACCGUUUAGGCAACAUGAAAGAGGAGGAUGGAGUCCCAGAGUAGGGUGAGUCAACAUGUUUUUUCUACUUGUGUACACACACACACACGGACAGCCAAAUCAUAUUUAGUUUAUUGGACUAAAUAGUUUUAGGUAUCUUUUAGUUGUCACUGUAUUAGACUAUGCAGAGGUGAUUAGAUGUUGAAAUAGUGCUGGAAUAGUGUACGCAGCGCAGCGCCUGUUUUCUUUUGGACUUGGGGUAUCUCUGUGGUUCUAAAACUUUUAGUUGUUUAGUCGUCCAAAAAUAUUGGAAACAUUAACUUGCUUGACCAUGCUCAGGGUCAUGUAACUGUGUGUUAAAUGCAAUAUAUUUUGUGGACUUCACCACACAGAUGUUGCUUUCCAGUCUUGUGAUGAAACAAAGGUAUGAUUGAAUUUAUUCUGCCACUAAAUCUUCUCAGUGGCAGAAUAUAUUUAAAUGUAAAACCUCAAGACCCUUAAAACCUAGCAGUAAAACCCGGUAAUGGUUCCAAUCGUUUUUUCACCAUUCAUUUUUUGCAUCUGGGAUUUUAGAACUACUUCAUAUAAGGUCUGUGUUUGGUGUAGGCUUACCCUGGCGUGACGUCUUCAUAACCGUGUAAUUCUAUCGGACAAGGUACGUUUUUAUCAAUGUAUUCGCCUCAAUUUACUCAAAAUAAUUCUAAAUGCAAAGUAGCAACAGAGAAGACCCCAGCAAGACUACAAAUUCAUGCCAACACUGUCGUCAGCUACCGUUCACCUGCGCAACCAGAGACCUGUCCAAUCC
Oncorhynchus tshawytscha (Chinook salmon) is the source of this 1992-nucleotide long non-coding RNA. The record is from Ensembl. Lineage: Eukaryota; Metazoa; Chordata; Actinopteri; Salmoniformes; Salmonidae.